This is an RNA transcript of Stomoxys calcitrans (stable fly), 2595 nucleotides long. It is a transcript of the gene named U3 small nucleolar RNA-associated protein 4 homolog, with no coding region annotated. The transcript has 5 exons. The record is from RefSeq and is a predicted model, not a curated record. NCBI's taxonomy places the organism in Eukaryota, Metazoa, Arthropoda, Insecta, Diptera, Muscidae.
UUGCCGACAUGUUCGUAAACAAGCUAGCACGUGUUUUGAUUUAAGCGGCACGCUCGUUUCUGUUCAUUUAUUUGGAAAAUAUUUUGUAAAAUUGUAGUAGCAAUAGUUUUAAAGUGAAAUGAAAAUGAAGAGAAUAAGUGAAAGUGAUUGUCCGCACAAGGGGCGAACACAAAUUCACAAUGUGCGCUUCUACAAUUUGCAGCCCCGUUCUAUACAAUGCAUGGCUUACAAUGCAAUUUGGAAAAAAUUGGCAGUCUCAAGAAAUGAUGGUUCCAUUGAAAUCUGGGACGUACGACACGCACCCUGUCUGGAACGCACUAUACCCAAGUCGCCGCAAAAUUCAGUGGAAGGUUUAGCCUGGUCCUCGGAACGUUUGUUCAGUGCUGGUCUCAAUGGCGAGCUAAUUGAGUGGAACAUGGAAACACUGAGUCCCAAAUACAAACAGCAUGUGACCGGUAAUGCCAUUUGGUGUCUUGAUGUCAAUCGCGAAGGCAGUGAGAUAGCCAUAGGAACUGAAGAGGGCUACAUAAAUAUUUUCAACAUCGAAGACAAUCAGUUUCAGUAUAAAUCUUUGUUUGACAAGCAAGAGGGAAGAGUGUUGUGCUGUCGUUACGAUGCCACUGGCAAUUUUCUAGUUACUGGUUCAAUGGGCGCCAUACGCAUUUGGAACACCCGUACGGGACAUGCCAUACACAAAAUGACUGUAGCCUCCAAAUCUCAGCCUCAGGACACAAUUGUAUGGUCGUUGCAAGUUUUACAGGAUUUCACCAUUAUCUCGGGCGACUCACGAGGUCAUGUCAGUAUAUGGGAUGGCAAGACAGCUUCACAAAUUGAGACACAUCAGGUGCUGAAGGCCGACGUUCUAGCAGUGGCGGUGAAUGAGGAGGAAGAUAAACUAUUUUGUGCUGGCAUAGAGCCCACAAUACGUAUUUAUGCCAAAACCCAAAUAAAACGUGAUGACAUGACCUUCUUUAGAUGGAUUAAGUUUUUGCAACGUCGCGUCCAUGAUCAUGAUGUAAAGGCUUUGGUCUGUGCCCAAGAUAACAUCUAUUCGGGUGGUGUAGAUGGUUAUUUGGGCAUAUCAUCGGCAACAAAAACCAAAUCCACUAUUGUUAAAUAUGGACCAUUUUUAGAGCAACCCUGCGCCAGCAUAGCUACUGCUGAACGCCUUAUACUUUUGCGUUAUACAAACUCAUUGGAAAUUUGGCGUAUGGGAUCUACAGGUGAUGAACAAGAGUCCGGUCAGCACACCAAUAAUCGCGAUUUGGCAACCCCUAAACGUUUAAGCUUAGAAACUGUACCUGAAAAACUAUUGGAGUUCAAAAGCAAAAAUGAUGAUCGCAUAGUCUGCUCCACACUUUCGCCCAAUGGCCGAUGGCUGUGUUAUUCCACCCAUGAUGAAAUACGUCUAUUCCAGUUUGUAGCCGGCAUUAACGAAGGCGAUAAUACACGCAGCACACAACUUGUGCGUGUCAAAGAUUUGCCCGAACAAUUGGCGGCAGCUUCGCAUCUGCAUUUUACAGCCGAUUCAAUGAGACUUAUGGUGGUGAGUCGUGAAAGCAAACAAAUCACCAUAUUCGCCAUGCUCACCUCGCCAGAUGAGAGUAUACUGGACACCUCUACCUCACCGCCCUUGGACUUUAUAGAGGCCAUAGAGACCUCGAAACACAUAAAGGAUUCUAUAAAGCUGUUCACUGUUUCGGUGUGUGGCUCCUACAUAGCAGCCGCCAGUUCAGAUCGUUCCAUAGCAGUGUGGUCGGUGUAUAAAGGGAAACAUUUUAAGCAUCUACUCAAUUUGCCUCGUUAUACCGCAGCCACAACAGCGAUUUCCAUACACGCAGAACAGCCACGGCUUGUUGCAGCCUUUGCCGAUGGCAAAAUAUUUGAAUAUGAUUUAGAGGAGAUGUGUUUCACCUGCUCUGAUCUGGAUCGUUUUGUAGUGAAUUCCGAGUAUCAAAGCAUCAAUAACAUUGUGCUCGAUCCACGAAAUCCCAAUGUUUUUGUCAUGCAAAAUGAUGCCAAGCUAUUUGUAUUGGAAAAGUGCAAGGCACAAGACAAAAUUGAAGAUGCUGUGGUGGAGAAUUCGAAAAAGAAAUCUUUGAAGAAACCCAAAACCAGUGAUAAUUCCGAUGAUGAAAAUAAGGUCUAUGGUUUGCGACUGAAAAUGGAAAAGACCUAUGAGCAUUUGCUUCAUGUGGCUUGGCUGAGUUCCGAGGAACUGGUGGCGGUUUGCGCCAAUCCCAUCGCCCUAUUAGAAAGUUUACCUAGUCCCUUCAAGGAGAAACUUUUUAGAACCAUGUAAAGAUAAUAUUUUGUUUUGAUUUUUUUCAUAAGUUUCUAUGAUUUAAGCUAAAUACUAUUCUGUUAAAAAGUUAAUGGAAUGUAGGGUUAACCCUAACCUAAUGGAAUGCGAAUUCUGAUGGAAAUAGCAAAAUAUUAUGUUAAGAAUACUCGUUCAAAUUGGCUGGAUAGUAUAACUCAAGAUUUCAUUUCGUUUGGUUAACAAUUUGUUAUGGCCAAAAGAAAACCUUUCAAAAUUCAUAGGCUUUGCUUUUGGAUUCAUGGAGAGAAUAUGGCUUAGCAAAACUCAAGAGC